RNAcentral lists this RNase P RNA (387 nucleotides) under Clostridiales bacterium. RNAcentral's name for it is "partial RNase P RNA component class A". It matches the Rfam family "Bacterial RNase P class A". Rfam says of the family: Ribonuclease P (RNase P) is a ubiquitous endoribonuclease, found in archaea, bacteria and eukarya as well as chloroplasts and mitochondria. Its best characterised activity is the generation of mature 5'-ends of tRNAs by cleaving the 5'-leader elements of precursor-tRNAs. Lineage: Bacteria; Bacillati; Bacillota; Clostridia; Eubacteriales. The record is from RNAcentral.
UGAGUAAAUCAGACAAUCGCGGGUGCAGUUUAACUGUACACGAGGAAAGUCCGAGCUCCAUAGAGCAGGAUGCUGGGUAACACCCAGUGGGGGCGACCCUAAGGAUAGUGCAACAGAGAUAUACCGCCAGACCCCUUGUUCAGUAGCAAUACUGAUACUUGUGGUGAGAAUAGCUUUUGAGCUAUCUGGUAAGGCUGGAAAGGUGAGGUAAGAGCUCACCAGUGGCUAGGUGACUAGUCAGCUAUGUAAACCCCAUCCGGAGCAAGACCAAGUAGGGACAAGAAAAUACGGCUGCUCGUCGUAUCCCAAUGGUAGGUCGCUUGAGCCGACUGGCAACUUUCGGCCUAGAUAGAUGAUUGUCUAAUACAAAACUCGGCUUAUAGAUUU